CGGGACACGUGGUAUCCUGUCUGAAUAUGGGGGGACCAUCCUCCAAGGCUAAAUACUCCUGACUGACCGAUAGUGAACCAGUACCGUGAGGGAAAGGCGAAAAGAACCCCGGCGAGGGGAGUGAAAAAGAACCUGAAACCGUGUACGUACAAGCAGUGGGAGCACGCUUAGGCGUGUGACUGCGUACCUUUUGUAUAAUGGGUCAGCGACUUAUAUUCUGUAGCAAGGUUAACCGAAUAGGGGAGCCGAAGGGAAACCGAGUCUUAACUGGGCGUUAAGUUGCAGGGUAUAGACCCGAAACCCGGUGAUCUAGCCAUGGGCAGGUUGAAGGUUGGGUAACACUAACUGGAGGACCGAACCGACUAAUGUUGAAAAAUUAGCGGAUGACUUGUGGCUGGGGGUGAAAGGCCAAUCAAACCGGGAGAUAGCUGGUUCUCCCCGAAAGCUAUUUAGGUAGCGCCUCGUGAAUUCAUCUCCGGGGGUAGAGCACUGUUUCGGCAAGGGGGUCAUCCCGACUUACCAACCCGAUGCAAACUGCGAAUACCGGAGAAUGUUAUCACGGGAGACACACGGCGGGUGCUAACGUCCGUCGUGAAGAGGGAAACAACCCAGACCGCCAGCUAAGGUCCCAAAGUCAUGGUUAAGUGGGAAACGAUGUGGGAAGGCCCAGACAGCCAGGAUGUUGGCUUAGAAGCAGCCAUCAUUUAAAGAAAGCGUAAUAGCUCACUGGUCGAGUCGGCCUGCGCGGAAGAUGUAACGGGGCUAAACCAUGCACCGAAGCUGCGGCAGCGACGCUGAUGCGUUGUUGGGUAGGGGAGCGUUCUGUAAGCCUGCGAAGGUGUGCUGUGAGGCAUGCUGGAGGUAUCAGAAGU
This 872-nucleotide ribosomal RNA is filed under the name Escherichia coli O146. RNAcentral's name for it is "partial 23S ribosomal RNA". It matches the Rfam family "Bacterial large subunit ribosomal RNA", at positions 418 to 1289 of the family's 2925-position model. Lineage: Bacteria; Pseudomonadati; Pseudomonadota; Gammaproteobacteria; Enterobacterales; Enterobacteriaceae. The record is from RNAcentral.